ACCUAUGGCCAUGCCACCCUGAACGUGCCCAAUCUCGUCUGAUCUCGGAAGUUAAGCAGGAUUGGGCCUGGUUAGUACUUGAAUGGGAGACCACCUAGGAAUACAGGUGCUGUAGGCA
Molecule: ribosomal RNA, 118 nt
Filed under: Pteropus alecto (black flying fox)
Lineage: Eukaryota; Metazoa; Chordata; Mammalia; Chiroptera; Pteropodidae
Source: RNAcentral